This 351-nucleotide ribosomal RNA is filed under the name uncultured bacterium. RNAcentral's name for it is "bacterial SSU rRNA". It matches the Rfam family "Bacterial small subunit ribosomal RNA", at positions 8 to 349 of the family's 1533-position model. The record is from RNAcentral.
AGAGUUUGAUCAUGGCUCAGGAUGAACGCUAGCUACAGGCUUAACACAUGCAAGUCGAGGGGAAACGACAUCGAAAGCUUGCUUUUGAUGGGCGUCGACCGGCGCACGGGUGAGUAACACGUAUCCAACCUGCCCACCACUUGGGGAUAACCUUGCGGAAGUAAGACUAAUACCCAAUGACGUCUCUAGAAGACAUCUGAAAGAGAUUAAAGAUUUAUCGGUGAUGGAUGGGGAUGCGUCUGAUUAGCUUGUUGGCGGGGUAACGGCCCACAAGGCGACGAUCAGUAGGGGUUCUGAGAGGAAGGUCCCCCANAUUGGAACUGAGACACGGUCCAAACUCCUACGGGAGCA